Molecule: ribosomal RNA, 253 nt
Filed under: uncultured bacterium
Lineage: Bacteria
Description: partial 16S ribosomal RNA
Rfam family: Bacterial small subunit ribosomal RNA
Source: RNAcentral
UACGUAGGUGGCAAGCGUUGUCCGGAAUUAUUGGGCGUAAAGCGCGCGCAGGCGGCCUUUUAAGUCUGAUGUGAAAGCCCACGGAUCAACCGUGGAAGGUCAUUGGAAACUGAAAGGCUUGAGUACAGAAGAGGAAAGCGGAAUUCCACGUGUAGCGGUGAAAUGCGUAGAUAUCUGGAGGAACACCGGUGGCGAAGGCGGCAUCCUGGACCAACACUGACGCUGAUGAGCGAAAGCCAGGGGAGCAAACGGG